CCGACGACCGGCGCACGGGUGCGUAACGCGUAUACAAUCUACCUUAUACUGGGGGAUAGCCUUUAGAAAUGAAGAUUAAUACCCCAUGGUCUAUAGAUAUGGCAUCAUAUUUAUAGUAAAGGUUACGGUAUAAGAUGAGUAUGCGUCCUAUUAGUUAGUUGGUGUGGUAACGGCACACCAAGACUACGAUAGGUAGGGGCCCUGAGAGGGGGAUCCCCCACACUGGUACUGAGACACGGACCAG
RNAcentral lists this ribosomal RNA (244 nucleotides) under uncultured bacterium. RNAcentral describes it as "partial 16S ribosomal RNA". It matches the Rfam family "Bacterial small subunit ribosomal RNA", at positions 88 to 334 of the family's 1533-position model. The record is from RNAcentral.